GUAGGUGAACCUGCGGAAGGAUCAUUAUCGUACAAAAUGUUUGAGGCAUGCGAGGGCUGUCGCUGACUCGAGGGUCGUGCACGCCGGAGCGUGUCCUCUCACAUAACACAAUCCAUCUCACCCUUUGUGCACCACCGCGUGGGCCCCCUUUGGGGGGCUCGCGUUUUCACACAAAACCCCCCCUUUUAAAAGUGUAGAAUGUCCUCAUUUAUGAAAUCAAUACAACUUUCAACAACGGAUCUCUUGGCUCUCGCAUCGAUGAAGAACGCAGCGAAAUGCGAUACGUAAUGUGAAUUGCAGAAUUCAGUGAAUCAUCGAAUCUUUGAACGCACCUUGCGCCCCUUGGUAUUCCGAGGGGCACACCCGUUUGAGUGUCGUGAAAACCUCAACCUCCUUGGUUUCUUCUGGAGACCAAAGGAGGCUUGGACUUUGGAGGCCUUUGCUGGCAUCUCUGUCAGCUCCUCUCAAAUGAAUUAGUGGGGUCCUCUUUGCCGAUCCUUGACAUGUGAUAAGAUGCUUCCGUGUCUCGGUUUCUGGCUCUGUUGCCUUUGGGACCCGCUUCUAACCGUCUAGGUCGAGACAAUGUUCGAGCUCGUCUCCCUUCUCGGGAAACGUUCUCGACCCCACGAACCCUUGGCCUCAAAUCGGGUGAGACUACCCGCUGAACUUAAGCAUAUCAAUAAGCGGA
RNAcentral lists this ribosomal RNA (688 nucleotides) under Lactarius silviae. RNAcentral describes it as "eukaryotic LSU rRNA". The stretch from base 224 to 377 matches the Rfam family "5.8S ribosomal RNA". Lineage: Eukaryota; Fungi; Basidiomycota; Agaricomycetes; Russulales; Russulaceae. The record is from RNAcentral.